UUUCUUAAGUGGUUUUUACCAUGGUGCGAUUAAAAUCCCCCUCAUAAAGUCAUCAUGUCCGACGAAGGUUCUAACUUUUAUCUUCGCCUCCACCACGAUUUCCGAUUCCAGGGUUGUACGCAAAAAUCCCACGCAGCCUUAGUUAUCUCUUCUUCCCACAAAUUUAAUUCGAAUUGAAACCCUGGAACACCAUCACUAAAGGUCGGAAGAUCAUCUGCACGCAUUCAGAUCGAAAUCGAGCCUUAUAAUUUGGGCUUUAGUUCGAAAUCGAGUACAACAGCAAUGCUUAACGCCUACCAAGUGCUCGACGAAAUGCCGUCCAUAUGGGUUUGAUUUCAAUUUCGAUUUUUACUUGGACCAACAUCAGGUAUGUGGUCUUUUAAAAUUUCCAGUGAAGUUUUUUUUGUCUAUCUAGGAAAACCUUGCAACUAUUUGAUUGUUAUUGUGAAGUUAAUGAAACGGAAACAGGAAGCAAUCUUUCUGUGUCAUGAAAAUCUCUGGAUCAAUAGCGACCCAUUUAGAUAGAGUUCUUCUCACUUUUACUUUGUAUUUUCCAAAUUUUGACUCUCUUAUCUCUUUGACUCUUUAGUAUUGCAAACCUAUCAUUGUCUAUUAGAUAUUACUUCCAAAUCUUGACUGCAAACCUGUGAUCAUAGAUUCGGAUGCCUCAUUUGAUGUGAGCCACAAUUUGAUUAUUCAUUUCUUUAAAUCUUGACUGCCUCUUGUUGUUCUUCAUUUGGUAAUUAAGUGUUGCUGUUUAUCGAACUUUACAAAAUGUAAUUUGUAAUAAUAUUGCUCCACUAACAACGAAAUGAGGUAUUUGCUUUUGUAAAGAAGAUUCAAUGCUAAUUGUCAUAAUUGUUGAGAAAUAUUAAUUCCACUAAAGGUCACAAGGUUAGAUUGUAGAAUUGUUGAGGCGUUUGGUGUGCUAUUUGAGAGUGGUUAUCUGAUCUAUUAUUUAAUUCAUAAAAACAAUAUAACAUUUUUAGAUAAGGUUUAACAUACAAAUACAAAUUAAUAUAAACCAUAGAUAUAUUAUAUUUUGUUGACAAUAUCUAUUUAAGAAGCAUAAAAGGAAAUUUAUAUGUAAGAAAAAGUUAUUGAGAAAAAUAAGUUUGACGAAUAAAAAAAAAAAAAGAUGCCGCUGCCAGGAGUCGAACCUGGGAACCUCACGGAGGAAACUUUUAUCCAAUUGUUUUCCUUCAGCGGCUUAUGUUGCUCCAUCUUUAUAUUAUAUAUUUAUAUAUUAAAUCAUAUGGAGUUGGUCAACAGAAACUUUUGGGAUUUAGAUUUCUGCCACAAAACUUUCUAAGAUUUAAACAUUUGCCACAAUAGCCCCCCGCUUCCUUACAUUACAUCCCAGUCAUAAAUCCUCCACCGACUCCAAUAUUUUUGCCCUCAACUCCGUUUUCCCUCUUAAUUUUCAUUCCCACCUCCAUCAACACACCACCGCCUCCCUCAGCCUUCCUCCGACGUCGUUUUCCUCUCCGAUGCUUUUCUGCUUCAAACCUGGACCAGAAGACGGAGUUGUCCCUCUGUACCCCUAAAUCCACACAGCAGCCACCACUUCUCAUGUCGCCAACCACCAUCAUCUUUUUAUUCUUUUCAGAGAAGUUAUGCGUGUGAAUUUGGAAUAUGUUAAUAAUUGCUUAUCGUUUUUUUAUAUUCCAACAGCGAUCGCCCCUCUUUUUCUCUAUAUCUCUCUCUCUCUUUUAUUAUUGGUCAAGAUAUCGGCUAAUCAGUGAUAAAACCAAUUUCUCUUAGUGGGUGAUUAAUUUUUACUUUCGAUUUUUAUGCUUUUGGAGAAUCUUAUGUUGGUUUUGAUGGUUUUUUGAUGAUUUAAAUUGGCUUGAUGAGCUUUCUGUGUUUAUUUUUGUUCUGUGUAGCAAGUUUUGUUAUUUAAUUAAGAUAUAAAAGCCAAUUUAUUUUGGUUUGUUUUGGCUGUGAUUCACUUUCUCUGUAUACCGUCACUUCCCGAUCCUCUUCAAUGCUUUGAAAAAUAUGGUAUGAAAUUUAUUUACGAUUUUGCCCCCUGCAGUUUAUUCUUGUAUAUUAUAUAAAAUGUAGAAUUUGUCAGUUUCCAAACAGGUAAUGGAAGUACCAUGCUUUAGAGAAACCUCAUUAUUAAUCUAAUGAGAUCUUGUAGUGAUGGACAUCAAGUUUAUAGUCACCUGUAACUUUUUUACAUUUCAAUUAAUAACAUUUUUUAAAAAUCUUUUUGAUUUCUAUCUUUAAAUUCCUUUUGUAGGUCAAGAAUUUAAGAAUUGGUGCCAUGAUGAGAACUGUUCUUCCUUCAUUUUUUUUCCUUUGUUGAUGAUUCCAAGAUUGAUUUUCUACAGUCGUGGUUUUUUUUUUUUUUACUGAUAUACCCUUUUUUAUCAGGGACUCAUUAGUGUAGCAGUUGUUGAAGCAUAUAAAAUGCUCCCAAAUUUGGAUUUGCUCGUCUCUUCAAGGGUUCAGUUUUUUCAUAUCAACAUUAUCAAUGGUUCCUAGCAUACCCAUUAAGCCAAUGCUCUCAAAGAUUGCUAAUGGGAUGACUCCCUGAAGUCUUGAAGCUAUUUUUAUGUAUGAAUUUCAGUUGGGGAUCAUUGAUAUGGAGUGUGAGUUGACUGAUCCUGAUAAUCUAUCAAAUCAGAUAAGAACACUAAAGUCAAUUAAUGUUGAUGAAGUUAUGGUUGAUACAUGUUGGGGAAUUUUAGAAGCCAACACUGCUAAUUGAUUAUCUUAGAAUUUAUCUGUCUCUUUUGACCUGUGUCAUGCAUGUAGAUCCCCACACCUCUUUUGAUUGUCUUUUAGUUCAGGAAGUGAAUGUAUGUUCUUUCAUCGUUUAUAUAAAGUCACAUAAAUCAAAUACAAAGGAAAAUACAAACUUUUUUUCAUCAA
Molecule: long non-coding RNA, 2883 nt
Organism: Lactuca sativa (garden lettuce)
Lineage: Eukaryota; Viridiplantae; Streptophyta; Magnoliopsida; Asterales; Asteraceae
Source: RefSeq, a predicted model, not a curated record